This is an unclassified non-coding RNA of Dipodomys ordii (Ord's kangaroo rat), 277 nucleotides long. Its record names the gene 7SK. It matches the Rfam family "7SK RNA". From Rfam's summary of the family: 7SK was discovered as an abundant small nuclear RNA in the mid-70s but a possible function has only recently been suggested. The record is from Ensembl. NCBI's taxonomy places the organism in Eukaryota, Metazoa, Chordata, Mammalia, Rodentia, Heteromyidae.
GGAUGUGAGGGUGAGCUGGCUGCGACUCAUCACACCAUCAUCACCAGGGUUGGUCCCGCUGAGCUGCUGGCUAGGGGUGUCCCCUUCCUCCCGCACAUGCUCCAUGUGCCUCCCUCUCGAAGCUACGUACUUGGUCUAAGAGGAGAACCAUCCCUGAGAGAGAAGGAUCGCCUUCUGUCAAGGGUAGACGGGUAGCUGGGCUCCCCUGCUGGAAGCUCUCAAAGACCCAGGGGGGGAAAAAUCCCAUCCAAAACUCAAAGGAAGGGCAUAAUGCUAU